GGAAUGUGGCUUUGGCCUCACGGUGAGUAGGUCUUCUUUAGUGGGGCUGAGUCAGGUACCACAUGGCUCAGUUCCUGCUGGUACCGAGAUGUCAGGAAUCUCAGUGUGCCUGAGGUGAAACACAAAGAUUCCAGCGUUGGGCUGGCCUCGCCAGAUUCCUGAUCCUCUGACUCACAGCGUGACGUUGCACAGGCUGCUGCCCCUCUCCAACCUCAGUUCCCUCAUGUGGACCACCGAGGUGACAAAAGUCCCCACAACACUGGGUCAUCACGAACUAUGUGAGAUCACGUGUACGAAGCACUUAGUAGGUGUCUGUCGACACCAGCCACCUAGCGCACAGUACUGAGUAAGUACUCAGUAAUUGAUCUUUGCAAUGACAACAGUCAUUAUCAGCAGGGUAACAAUUUUGAGGAACCCAUCAGAGCCACAGAAUCCAGCUCGGUUUGGUUUGGGGAAACGUCUGAGCCCCAGAGUUCACCUGCCCUCAGGCCUCGCAGCCCAUCUCAAGGUCAAAGUGAAAUGUCGUGGGUCAAAGAGAAAGAAAAAGAAACUGCACGGAGAAGGGCAACGAGCGAUUAGAUCCAUGCCUCACAGCCACUAUUUUCGAAACACUUGCUAGGCUGUGAACAAAGCAGAGUUCCUGACCUCCAUCCAACAUGCGGGGGAGACAGACAAUAAGCAAAUAAGCAGAGAGAACUACAUCGGGUGUCAGGUGGUGAGCAGAGCGAUGAAGAAAUAUGAAGCCGCGUAAAACAAUGGAGAGUGACAGGGUGUGGGCGUAGGCGCUCCUCGUAGGUAAGGUCAUCGGAGGAGGGCUUCUGGAGCACGACACUGGAGCAGAGACCUCGGCAAAGCGAGAAUCUCUGAGAGCCCAUCCUUCUGAGGAUUUGAGGCUAAACUGGUUUGACACUAAGAUACUAAUCUGCGUUGUGUACGAUUCUAGAAUUCCACGACUCUAAGAACCUCUAACUAAAAUUACACAUUUCUACUGUUCUCGCCUCCCAUGAAAAUGAUUCUAGAAUUUUGUGAUUCUGAAAUGUUAGGAUUCACUGAAGCAUCUUUUUGCUUGAAUAGACCAGGAUUCAUUGCCUACCCUCUCCCCGCUACCCCCAGGAAAUGGAGCUGAAAAUAGAAACCGUCAAAACAACAAGCCAUUCCAGCUCUAAGUGCCAUAGUAAACAAAUGGUCCAAUGUUGCUCUGAUGGUUUAAUUGCAGCAGCUCCAGACAAGCCCAUUCAUGAGGGAUCAUCAGUUGAUGGAGAGGAGGAGUGAGCCCCUUGGGAGAAGGGGUGGCUUGCGGCCGGCCCUGGGGUGGGGCAGGUCUGUACCAGCAGCCAACGUUCUGGAUGUCUCCCUCUGGCCCCUUUGGCUUUGGGGAUCAAGAUGGUGGACAUUUUGACGAGGAGUGUCAAGAGAGGCCUCUCUGAGGAGGUAGCAUGAAAGCCGCACCUGAGGACUGAUAGGAUGCCAGGUUCACAGCCAGGGGGGAGAACAGUCCCAGGUAGAGAGAACAGCAGAUUCAAAGGGCGAGAGAGCUUGGCUGGUUCCCAAAGCAAUUGGAGGACAGGAAAAUGAGAUGAGAUCAGAAGGGCAGGAAGGGGCUGGAUCCUACAGGGGUUUGUCGGCUAGGAUUGGGAACGUGGAAGCUACUGGAAGGUUUUAAACAGUGAGUGAUGUAAUGUAAUUCCAUAUUUAAAAGAUCCUGGGUGCUCUAAGUACAGUGGACUAUGGGGGGGUGGGGCAUGAGUGGAAGCUGGAAGGCCAGUAAGAGACUGCGGUGUUUGUCCCCGGAAGGAGUGGCAGCGGCUUGGAUCUACAUGGUAGCAGGUGGAUCCAUCUGUUCACCCAUCCCUUCUUUCUGCCCUCCCUUCCUCAUCCCUUCAUCCAUCCAUUCAUUAACCGAACACUUAUUAACUGUCUAUGGGGAGCCAGGCACAAUGCUGAGCUUAUAAGGACGAAUUAAACGUGGUUUCCGACCGCAAGGAGCUCACAGAACGGCAGGUCCCUGACCCUGCAAUGUAACGGUAACGAAUGUCCCAGUGCAAAGUACCCUGCGGGCUCAUGGGAUGUGAUUCACUGAGCCUGGGAUGUUGGAAAAGGCCUCGUGGAGGACAUGUUGGUGUUUGAGAUGUUGGAAGGUCUGAGAUGUUGGAGGGGCAGCUCGGGGAAGGGUGAGGAGGCAGCACGAGUGAGUGUCCUGCAAAUAUGUGGCUGUCCAGGUUGGUGGGAUCAACGACCAGGUGCGUGGAGGGACACCACGGGAAAGGGGUUCUGGGCCAGCUUGGGGAGGGGUGGGGACACAUGCCUGUGACUUCCUGCUCAGCUCCGCCUGCCCCUACCGGAGCGGAGUAAUUUAAUUAAGUACCAGCCCUUAAACAAGAUGCAGCUGUUUAGCAGAUGUUGCCUUUCACCCCAGAUGGAGGCACAUCUUGGCAACGGGCACAGCGUUUCCAGGGCGCUUAAUUUGUAAGGCUGCGGAGAGGAAAGAAAUUCAAGAUGCGGCCAUUAUUAUUUAAUGGCCAUCAUUCAUGACACACACCCCCGCCCCCCCAGCACCACGGCCACAUGGCCACCAUUCCUGUUGGCUCGGACUGGAGACAGAGGCAGGCCCCCGGGGAGGGUGAUUUGCUGGUUCUCACUCAGAGAACAAGAGAAGAAAAGCGGAGGAAAAGGUCACCAAUCUGCAGAACCCCCAAGAACGUUUAUAGUUUAAAUUUCCAAGGGCAAGGAUUUUUGUCUGUUUUAUUCCUUGCCAGCUCUCCAAUAUGCACAAGAAUGCCUGACUCAAGACAGAAUCCUAUAAAUAUUUGUUCAAUGGGUAGAGAAAUGAUCAAUGGAUCUCACCGAACUUAUAAAAAGAUUGUCAGGGAGACAAAAUUACUCUCCCAAGAGUUACACAGCCGGCAAGGGGUGAGUUGGGAUUUGAGUUUGGGUCUGUCCCUUUCCUAGGGACUUUUCCUUCUCCGUAGCACUUAUCACCACUUAUGUAUUAUUUCUGGGCCUGUGUUUGGCAUCUCUCUCCUCUCCCACCGGAAUGGGGGCUCCAGUGAGAACAGAGUUCAUGUGUUUUGCUCAUAGUUGUCUCCCCAGCACCCAGACAGCACUCCCCAGCACCCAGGAAGCAGCUCAUAAAUAUACACUGAGUGACACUUCAUUCUCGCAAGCAAUCCUGCAAAGUAUGUUUCCUCUGUGCUAUUUUACACAUGGGGACAUUGAGGCUCAACCAGAGAAGUGAUUUGCCUUGCUUAAGGUCAUCUGGCUAAUGAAUACAGAGCUGGGAUUUGAACCCAGGCCUCCUGAGCUCAUUGGUCAUGGAGAAGGGGACCCCCAUUUAACGCUUGCUGGUUCGACCCACCCAAAGGCAACAGCUGCUUGGCCGAAAGCUCCACUCACAACCUACCAGGGAAGGCAUUUCCCCCUCAAGGUCAGCAGUGUCAGGGCCGAUGUGAAACUCACCCUUAAUGCACAACUCCCCAGUUUCGUCCAUUUAAGUGAAAACUUUGAUGUUAUUUUAACCCAAAUCCCCCGUUGACUUCAAUGGAAGCUUUGAAUCCACGAGGAAGGUCAGACAGUGUUUUUGGAGGUAACAUGGGCACCCAAUGGAAAUCAUAUUAGCAUACUCAUUAUCAUCAGGGCCCUUUGAAUGUGUUUUUUAGCUGCUCCCUUAAAGUUGACUUGGUGACAAUGGAUCCUUUCUGUUCAGGAAUCACUGGGCCAGAGUGGAGCUGCGGUCGGCUCCUGUGUGCUUUUCUGUGCUUUUCAAAUGAUGACAGUGAACCCAUGUUGCAUAAGGAAAAUGUUCAAACUACGGAAAAGUGCAGAGAAUCGUACGACGACCCCACUGCCUGAUAUCAGCCUCAUCAAUCAGCAACACGGAGUCCCUCCGGUGUGAGGGGGUUUAAGAAUCCCUAAUUUCAGCAGGACACGUGGCAGCCCAGAAUGAAGAUUACACUUCCCUGCUUUCUUCCCGAAUCCUAGCCAUGCUGGACCAUGUGAUGAAUUAAAGAUGGCUACUGAUUCUUUGGUCCUUCUUCCUUCAAGAGGAAGAGUUUGUUUGGACUUCCCCUCCUCUUAAAUCUGGGCUUGCCUGUGACUUAUUGGACCAACAGAAUACAGUGGAAAUGAUGCUCUGCCAAUUCCGGACUUUGCCCUUAAGGAUACUGGCGGAUUCUGCCAUGGUCUCUUGGAUCCAUGGCUGCCAAGGAAAAGGUCAAACCACUCUGCUGGAGAGACCCCCCUGGAGAAGCCCUAAGACCUCACGGAAAGGAAUCAGGGACCCGGCUGAGCUCAGCACUGCGGUCUUCCCAAACCAUCUUGGUCCUCCAGAUGAAACCAAUCAUCAGCUGAACGCGGCCAAGUGACUAGUCAACGCCCAUGGAUCAGAAGGACCGCCCAGCUGAGCCCUGGCCGAAUUUCAGACCCACAAAACUGUAGAAAAUAAUAAACAUGAUUAUUGUUUGGGGAGUGUCUGUUGGGUACCAAUACAUAACCAGAACAGACCAUGAGAUAGAAGGUAUUUGUUGAGGAUGCUGUAACAAUUACACCAUCUGGAGGUCUGGCCGCCUCCGGAUAUUUUGUCCUACACGAAAAGUAGACUCUGUUUGUUUAGGCUUUGAUGAUACCUUGGGUCGUGGCUCAUGGCCUCAGUUUCCCCCCAAUUAUUCAUUGGAGCAUUAACGCCUGCCCUGUUGCCUCCUUUUGCAUGUAAUACAAACAGUGCAUAUCCAAAAAGACCAUGGGGCGUGCUCAAGUCGUUAUGAUACAUUUCAUGUGUCGGUAAUCAGAUAGGAACUUGUCAGGAGGCCAACUGCAAUGGGUUUUGGAAUCAGAUAUGUUGGGACUGGAGGCUCAACUCUGCUACUUUCUAAUGUGAAAAAUCGGACCAGCCACUGAAUCUCUCUGAGCUUUGUUUCCUCAUCAAUAAAAAACAGACGAUGCCUA
This is a long non-coding RNA of Lynx canadensis (Canada lynx), 4941 nucleotides long. RefSeq lists it as uncharacterized. The record is from RefSeq and is a predicted model, not a curated record. The transcript has 6 exons. NCBI's taxonomy places the organism in Eukaryota, Metazoa, Chordata, Mammalia, Carnivora, Felidae.